RNAcentral lists this ribosomal RNA (717 nucleotides) under uncultured bacterium. RNAcentral describes it as "bacterial SSU rRNA". It matches the Rfam family "Bacterial small subunit ribosomal RNA", at positions 29 to 818 of the family's 1533-position model. The record is from RNAcentral.
ACGAACGCUGGCGGCAGGCUUCACAUGCAAGUCGAACGCCCCGCAAGGGGAGUGGCAGACGGGUGAGUAACGCGUGGGACUACCGUGCCCUGCGGAAUAGCUCCGGGAAACUGGAAUUAAUACCGCAUACGCCCUACGGGAAAGAUUUAUCGGGGUAUGAUGAGCCCGCGUUGGAUUAGCUAGUUGGUGGGGUAAGCCUACCAAGGCGACGAUCCAUAGCUGGUCUGAGAGGAUGAUCAGCCACAUUGGGACUGACACGGCCCAAACUCCUACGGGAGGCAGCAGUGGGGAAUAUUGGACAAUGGGCGCAACUGAUCCAGCCAUGCCGCGUGAGUGAUGAAGGCCUUAGGGUUGUAAAGCUCUUUCACCAGAAGAUAAUGACGGUAUCCGGAGAAGAAGCCCCGGCUAACUUCGUGCCAGCAGCCGCUAAUACGAAGGGGGCUAGCGUUGUUCGGAAUUACUGGGCGUAAAGCGCACGUAGGCGGAUUUAAGUCAGGGGUGAAAUCCCAGAGCUCAACUCUGGAACUGCCUUUGAUACUGGGUCCUGAGUAUGGAAGAGGUAAGUGGAAUUCCGAGUGUAGAGGUGAAAUUCGUAGAUAUUGAGGAACACCAGUGGCGAAGGCGGCUUACUGGUCCAUUACUGACGCUGAGGUGCGAAAGUGGGGAGCAAACAGGAUUAGAUACCCUGGUAGUCCACGCCGUAAACGAUGAAUGUUA